CCUAUUGUAUUUCCGGUAGUGGUGCAGCUUCACGCGCAGCUCAGCAGGCUCGUUAAACUGGUGGAGGCAGACAUUGUUGUGGUAGCAGCUCAGCUCCGGAGGAUGAAGCGCCCGUAAUGAGCAGCGUUUCGCAGAGAUCCCGCGUUUGGGCUGGAACUGGAACCAGCUGUAGUGUUUCGCCGGGCGAUCACAGGGUCAGAAUGGUCGGCGAGUGCAGGGAGUGAUCCGACUGGUCGCCACUGCUGCUGCUGCGCCGAUGGGCGACUCCGCAGGGCUGCUGGGCCUGAGGGUGCAAGGCAUGAUGGGAUGCGGCGGGCGCUGCUGCUUCUGACGUGGAGGACGGGUACGUGAAAACCAUGCCGGCGGAGAAGGACAUGAGGGAGGGCGUCGAUAUCAGGACCGGGGUGUGGAGCGACUCGGACUCGGAGGCGACGACCGAGGCGGUGGACGCCACUGGUUUGGCCGGGAUUGUUAUCUUCGGUUUGGGCUUCUCUGGCUUUUUUGUGGAGGGUCUCGGAAUGAUGGAUUCCUCUGGUUCCAGUUUGAUGGCUCCCAAAGAGGAAAGCGAAGGCGUGGAAUCAGAAUCGGAGUCAGAGUCGUCAAUUUUGCAGAUGGGACGGUGAGCUUCCAGGACCAACUCCAGCUUCUCCUUCUCCUUCUGCAGUUCAGCUAUUUCUUUCUGCAGACGCGACUUCUCGUCCUCCAGCUGAUCGGUUUCCUGCUCCGGAAGGGAGGACAAUCAAGUUCAUUCAUGCCUGACUCAGGUAUUUGCACUUUUUAGGAAUUAAGUGUUAUGACACUUGUAAAAUCUUUACUCACACUUUGUAAUGAGUCAGUCAGCUCGCGGCGGCGAUUGCGACAUUUUGCUGCUGCCAUUUUAUUCCUUUCCCUUCUGAUCCUGCGUCUUUCCAGUUCUUCAAAUGACAACUGUGAUUAAAAAGAGAAGUACAAACUAUUACAUAUCAGAAAAUAGGCUACAGAGCUGUUAAAAAGUAUUUACACCCUUACAGGUUUCUUCUGUUUGUGUCACUUACAUGUUUCAGACCUAAACCUGGUUGACCUCAUUUAAACUUUUAAAAGAUGCCAACCUGGUUUUAUGGGUAAAGUAUUUACCCUAAAAGUGUUUUUAAUAGGGUUAAAACUGGACAAUAACAUAUUACAAUAUAAGAGUUUCAAGUUGAUAUUAAUAAUUAUUGAUUAGUUUUUUGUUUGAAAUAUCUGAAAUACUACCGUUUCUUGUUUUAUACAUAAAUUACUCUGAAAUUGUUUUACUUAUUUUCUAUUUUCACUACGCCCCGUUCUUUUUCUUUUUCACAGAUAGUGACAAAACCUUCAACUAGUGUAACCUUCAACUUGCUGAGUAACUAGUUACUCAGCAAGUUGUUGCUAGGUAACCAAACAGCAAGAGAAUUCGUUGAUUCCACCAACAGUCCUCGGCCAUUCAGGAGCAGAUUUGUUACAUUUAAAGUCACAAACUGAUUUCUAGACAGAAUAUUUCCUAAAACUCAAGAUGAGAAGAGCGUUGUCUUUUUGUGCUGUGGAACUUUACUAAAAUGCCAUUUCUGACUCUCUUUUUUUCAUUUAGUUGUGAUUUUUGUUGUUUCUUUUCUAGGUAUUUUAUCCUACAGUUUGUUUUCUUAUGGGUUUCCAUAUAGGUGAUGAUACUUUUGAUUACAAAGUAAUCAGGUGUGAGUUGGUAAAGAAAAAUUAAAUUCAACUUUGUAAAACUCUGGCAAAAAAGCAAGAGGAGCAUUUGCUUUCAGUGCCAAAAUUGUCAAGUCAAAAAAUUAUUAUUUUAUCUACUCGACAAUAAAGUAGUCAGAUUUGUUCUAAAUUAUUUUAAGAUCAAAAAUUUAAAAAGGGCUUUGCUGGUUUGCCUUAUUAAAAUAAAUUUUGCACAUCUUCUAAGGAUCAAUUGGAAGAAAAAUUAGCUCAAUCUAGUCAAUUCUAAUCAAUAAAAUCUGGAUUUUUCUGUGAGAAAUGCUAGCUGUAUUUAUGAAUCAAAAUCAGAUUUGGGUACAGUAAAGUUGCUGGAUAGAUGUGGAGAAAGCAAAAAGCCUACUUAUUUAAAGACAAGUAAUUACUGUUGUUUCCAACAUUUUCUAAAAUAAGAUUUUAAUCUGAAACAUUAAAAUGUGACAAAAAGCAAAAAUAGAAGAGCUGAAUGAUGAGUUGCAUCUCUUGCUUCUGUAUCAUGUAAAUGGAGAAUUACCACCACCAUGUGUGGACUCUGAGUCAUAACAAUCAUGGCGUCUGAAUAACUCGGUAUCGUCUGCUUCUUUUUGUGCUUGUAACAUGACAAGUCUGGUUUUAUCCGACACCCUAUUGAAUAAUUACAGUUGUGUCCUAUAUUUCCUGCCCUUUCGGGUCCAUGACUCACACUCAGACCCCUAGGGUUAGUCAAGUGGUGAGUCACAGAAAAUGACUUGCCCAUGUGAGUCACAUGACUGUGUACUUCCUGUACCAUAAAAUCGCAGCUCUGUGACGUGGAUGUGUGCCAAUCAGCAAGUGCCCGCUGAAAAUGAGAAAUUGCUAAAUGAAUGAAGCUACAAGGGUGAAAAGUUGCAACAAGAGGGAUCCACAUUUUAGAUUUCCUCUGGCAUCUGGAAGCUUUUUGUUUCAUGUGUAAACAAUAACCGUAAAGUAAACAGAGGAUGUUUACAUUAGGGAAUAAAAACUAUUCAAGAGCUUAGAGAAGUUCUCAACAGUUUCUCAGCAAAAUCUAUUUCUAAAUUACUGAAAUUCAGGAAAAAGUGACUGUGUGACACAAUGUUACAGGAUGUUACAUGAUGGUUACACAGAACUGAUUGAGUCACUGGUCACACCUCUGACCUCCUUAAGUCCCAGAUAUUUUAUUUUUACUUCUAAUUCAAUAGAUAGCUGUUUUUACAUUACAAAUAUGUACAACACUGUCGAAAAAACAAAAUUUUGCAAUUGCAGUGUUUCCAUUAACUAAGAAACGGCAUUAAAAAUCAGACAUGAAUAAGUAAAGUCAUUAAAAACGUUACAAGCUAUGAUCCUCCUACCACUUCCUGUUUUCUUCUUCGUGGUUUGUGCCAGUAGCAACAGCCAGUUGUUAAUCGUGUGAUGCGAAAAAAAGUGUUUCCAUUAUAGUUUUGUGUAAUAAAUUAAUUUCGACACGA
Molecule: long non-coding RNA, 3143 nt
Organism: Gambusia affinis (western mosquitofish)
Lineage: Eukaryota; Metazoa; Chordata; Actinopteri; Cyprinodontiformes; Poeciliidae
Exons: 2
Source: RefSeq, a predicted model, not a curated record